RNAcentral lists this ribosomal RNA (465 nucleotides) under uncultured bacterium. Its description in RNAcentral is "partial 16S ribosomal RNA". It matches the Rfam family "Bacterial small subunit ribosomal RNA", at positions 338 to 795 of the family's 1533-position model. The record is from RNAcentral.
CCUACGGGUGGCAGCAGUGGGGAAUAUUGCGCAAUGGGCGAAAGCCUGACGCAGCGACGCCGCGUGAGGGAUGAAGGUCUUCGGAUCGUAAACCUCUGUCAGCAGGGAAGAACGGUCACUGUGCUAAUCAUCAGUGAAUUGACGGUACCUGCAAAGGAAGCACCGGCUAACUCCGUGCCAGCAGCCGUGGUAAUACGGAGGGUGCGAGCGUUAAUCGGAAUUACUGGGCGUAAAGCGCUCGUAGGUGGUAUGUCAAGUCAAGGGUGAAAGCCCCGCGCUCAACGUGGGAACUGCCUUUGAAACUGGCAAACUGGAGUGUGUGAGAGGAUGGUGGAAUUCCAGGUGUAGGAGUGAAAUCCGUAGAUAUCUGGAGGAACAUCAGUGGCGAAGGCGACUAUCUGGCACAUAACUGACGCUGAGGAGCGAAAGCGUGGGUAGCAAACAGGAUUAGAUACCCGAGUAGUC